This is a long non-coding RNA of Mus musculus (house mouse), 4968 nucleotides long. RefSeq annotates it as predicted gene, 35338. NCBI's taxonomy places the organism in Eukaryota, Metazoa, Chordata, Mammalia, Rodentia, Muridae. The transcript has 4 exons. The record is from RefSeq and is a predicted model, not a curated record.
AGAAAAGAAAGUAUGUUGCUUUCCACAAGGCUUCUGGUUUUCCUGUUCUCCCCUACCUGUUUUUUCCAGGGCACCCAAUGGGUGACAGUGCCACGUCCAGGACACUGGACUGGAGCCACCUUUAUAGAACCGGUUUGAAAUCAAACAAUGCCGUGGUACACAAGCCAGCUGAGCCAGAGGUGUCCAUGGGCCAAGAGGGGCAAAGGCCGAGAGACCAGAGCAGAGCAUGGUGCAUAUCCAGGGAGCUCACCCUUGUUUACCAGGGAGCUAGGAGGUGACCGAUGGAACUGUGCCACCCCAGGGAGCAUGUAGAUAUCUCUCCUCACCUUGGAGGUAAAAGAAGGGGCUCCUGGGUGGGUCGGGUGAGGGGAGCAGGACAAGGGUCUACAACCUUCUGAACCUGUGUCGGUCGGGCUGGGGCUGUCCUAUAAGCAUGGUGGCCUUCAACCCAGGUAUCCUCUGCCCCCAGACGGAACUGAGAGUGGGAGGUGAGCGAGCAUCUAGAGAGGGUGGCUCUCGGUGGAAAUUGAGUAGAAUGGCAGAAAUAAGUCAAGCCCAGGCCUGGGGGGUAGAAUGCUUGCCUGGCAUGCAAGAAGCCCUGGGUUCAAUUCCCAGCACUGCAUAAACUGGGUCAGGGUGUCUUCCAGCUGAAAUUUCACUACUCUGGAGUUAGAAGCAGAGGGGAUCCAGAGCUCAAGGUCACAGUACCCUUGGCUACAUAGUGAGUUUCAAGGCCACCCUGAGCUUUAAGUUAAAUAAAAUAUCCUUGCAGGUGGAUAAUUUGAGAAGUUCCCAGACCCUAUGAAGACAGCCCUAAGGGACAAAAUAUAGUGGCAGGAGUGAGCUGGGCAGCAGAUAGCUAGGUGGACAUUUGAAUCCACCUAGAAUUGGCCCCAGCUGUGUGACUAAGGACUUGGGGGCCCUCACCACCAUGUGUACUAAGGUAGGGUGGGGAUGGGGACCUUAGUCAGAGUUUGGGAAGGUAUAUGGCCUAGAAAACCUUCUGGACAUACGCGUAACGAGGAAGCCUGCUUUGGACUCUCUGUUCCCUGUAGCCUGGUUUCCCUUUUGCCUGGCACACCCAGCAGGCAGAGUCCAGACUCGCUGACCUCAAAAAGUCCCGCCCCUCUAGCCUUGUGCUUCUGACUAUUCAUUUCCUGCAGAAGGCUCAGGGUUUUGCCUACUGGGUAAAAAGCAGAGGCAACUCCACCCAAGGGGCCCACACAGAAGCCCAGGGAUACUCUUGUCUGCAUCCCAGACCCCACGCCCACCCCUGCCCCCGCCUUGGUGCGACCCCGUGCCCCCCGCCCCGGUGCAGGGAGGGAGGCACCUGUGCCUGGCACGCCUUCCUGCUGGGUCUGGACUCACUAUCUUAGAACUGAGCGUGAAAACCCAGAAAAGCUCUGAGCCACCAUCCAGCCCCUAAAGUCUUCCUUCUUUAUCUCUCCACAUCCCAUUCCAUCCCUCCCUCCCUGCUAAGGCAGGGGCGAGGAUUCGACCACUGAUAAUUGAUUGUGACUUCUCUCCACGCAAGCACAGGCUCACCGAGGGAUAAAACACGAAGGAGCCCAGUGGUCAAGAGCUCGGGCUGCUCCCACAUUUCCCUGGAAAUCACUUAAAGGUGCCAGCAUAGGAGACGUCACAGUGUGCCCCACCCCCACCCCAGGCCUGCAGAGUAUGCACGGUUUCAGUCCACCCUCACUUAAAUAGACUGUAGGUUCCCUUUGUAGGUGAGGAGACUGACAAGCCCUCACUGCAAGCCAAGGGCAGGGCUCCGUAUGGAAUUCUCAACAGGCCCGUCUACUCCAGCAUGGCUGGCGAGUCCCCGACAAGCCUUUCUCCACAUCUCUGCAGUGUGAACACCCAGGCGCCUCCAUUCAGAGCCUGGCUCCGUAGCCAAACGAGUCUAGUGAUGUCAUCGUUGCCAUGGAAACUCUCUCCAGGCGUCAGGCAGGACCAACCUCCCCUGAGCAGUUUCCCUUUGUGUGGACUUUGCAAUGCGUUGCCAAGGCAGUGAGGCCUGCUGGGUGGCAUCAAAGAAGGUGGCACCAGCUGGAUCUGCCCACAGACGCCUUCGAAGGUCCCAGGGGAUCUAUCUGAGAUUUUGGCCACUACCUGAAGUAUGGAGUUUUGCCAGCAAUAAGGAGAAAGCCUUGUAGGAGGCAAAGGGCACCCACUGGGACCUGGACGAUCAUGGGGAUUCGACAUGCUUUUCUGAAGGCACCAGGCAUGCGGGCUGUACUGAAGCAUACAAGCAGAGUUCCCAGGACUGGCUCUGUUCUAAAGUCUGACUUGGCUUCCAGAAAUUCUCAAACAGAAGUGGAUUCAAACGCAUGAAAGAAGGGAAAGAAAUCCCCCAGGUCUUGGCUGAUCACACCUCCACCCAGGUCUGUGAGUCUGUCCUCCUUCCCACUCUCUGUAAGGCAGACACCUCCACCCCCUGUUUAUACUUGUUUAUACUCUGGGCCUUUGCUCUUCUGGCCUCCUGUGCUCAAAAGCACCCGCAGAAUGAGAAAAAAACACAUUGUUGGCUGACUGUGGGGGCACAGGUCGGUGAGGCCAGCAUCCCAGAGGUUGAUGCAGAAAGACCAAAAGUUCAAAGCCUGCCUAGCCUCCAUAGCAAGUUCAAAGCCAGCCUGGGCAACUUAGCUGACACUAUAUAUCUCAUAGGCAGAGUGCCUGCCGUGUACCUGGGAGACCCCAGCUUCAGUCCCCAGAACUACAAUAAGCAAAUAAGUAAAAAGCCCAGUUCUCCUUAACCCUUGGGAUGGAGGGCAAAGGUCAGGCCUGUGAGACCUCCCAGAGAGCUGACUCUGACCCCACCUCCCUACAGCAGCCCCACCCCUCCCUACUGUCUCUCCUGUAGUCUUCUAUACUCGCCCAUCUCCCCCACUGCAAUAAACCCUUCAGGCCAUCUGGAUGAUGACCCAAGGCUUGCUUGCCCUUUGAGCUGGAGGCACACGGUAAGCCUGAGUUCUAGGCCUAGAAGCAAGAUGGAGGACGCAGGGGCAAGGAGAAGUGAUGGAGGUUAUGGAGCAAGCAGAGGGUGCCUAGUCUCUCCCUGGAAGAUGCUACUGCAGGCCAGAUUCAGCCCAUCUUUCAUGCUGCCUGAGGGGAGACAAGCUCUCUCGGUCCUGAGUUUGACCUACAAGAGAUUCAGAAAACAGCCAUUGACUGUCGUCUGAUGGGUGACUCUAAACAGUAGGAACAGUGGUAUUUCUUUCUUUUUUAUAUUUCUGCAUUUUCCAUUAAAAGAAAAGGAGGAGGAGAGGGGAGGGGAGGAAGAAGAGGGAGAGAAAGAGGAGGAAGUGGAAGAGUAGGAGAAGAGGAAGAAGAAGAGGAGGAGGAAGAGGAGAAGGAGGAGGAGGAGGAGGAGGAGGAGGAGGAGGAGGAGGAGAAAUCUCUCAUUUUAGAAUAAAAAACCAAAACCAUUGGGCUGUCUUGCCACCAUGGUGGCGAAAAAUUAGCCCUCGUGCGUCUUCUGAGCUGAAGAGACACGCUUGGUCUAUGGAUUCUCGGGCAGAAGCUGGAGUGGGCCCAAUGAUGCUCUGCCCUGUUGCCGGCCACUGGAACCCACCCCAACAUCCAUCAACAGUAAAAAGGGUGACUAAAUUAUGAGAGUCACACAGUGACAAGUUCCCAGAAAGACAAGUGGCCUGAGAGUGCCCGAGACAGCAUGGUAGGCCUUCAUAGACAGGACACUGGGCAAAAAAAAAAAAACCCAUACUACACAGUAGGUAUAGCAUAAUUCCAUGCUACACGUGGGCUUUGUCAUACACUGGCCAUCACAGCCUAGAGGGCUACAGGGUGGGCUGAGGGGAAAGGACAACCCUUAGAGCUGUCAGUCAGUAGGAGUCCUGAUGAGCUUUCAGUGUUGGUUUGAGUGUGUGUCUCUCUCUCUUUUUUCUUUUUUUGGUUUUUUGAGACAGGGCUUCUCUGUAUAGCCCUGGCUGUCCUAGAACUCACUUUGUAGACCAGGCUGGCCUCAAACUCAGAAAUCCACCUGCCUCUGCCUCCCGAGUGCUGGUUCUUUUUCUUUUUGAGGCAAAGUUUCAUGGAAUCCAGGUGGCCUCAGAUCUGAUUUGUAGUCAAGGGUGACCUUGAACUCUGAUGCUCCUGCCUCUACUUUCUGAGCUCUAGGAUUACAGACAAUGGGAGGUGCCGGAGAGAUGGAACUCAGGCCUCACGAAUCUUCCAACUGAGCCACAUCCCCAGCCCUGCAUCCCACCUGCCUGGCGCUGUUUCUUGGUUUGGCCACACCAGUUUGUGUAACUUGUGAUGUGUCCCUCAGCUGCACACUUUUGUGUAAUGUACUCAAGGCCCCCUCCUCCCCAAAAGUUUUUGUUUUUAAAAAUAAAAGGCACCCCCCCCCCCCGGCAGGAUAAACCCACCUCCCUUUUCUGUUCAUAGGACACAAGGAGAGGUGCCUGCCUCCCAGGCACACAAACAGCAGCCAGAUUGUUGCCACUAGAAUCUCUUCACUAAGCCUUCCAAAGUGAGACGGGGGACUCUUGUUUCCAUCCAGCAGAGAACACAUGGCUCUGGAAUCAACCCCACAUCAGAUCAGGUGUCUGGAGGCCGGGCCAGGCUCUGAAGGCUGGGUCUUCCAGUUUCAGCUGGAGCAGGCUGAGGACUAGGGCUUGGUGGGUGGGAUGCAGAGGUACAGGUACCUGUGUUGAUGGUGGGGGUUGAGUCCCAUGCACAACCACCUCCAACUCAGGCCUCUGCAGAGUGGCAAAGGUGCAUCUGCCUGAAUUUAGGAGUCAGGGAAGCCCAGGCGGCCUGGCCUGACCUUGCGCGCCACCCCCAAAGGUCAUGGCGCUCAGCUCUCUGGGGUUCAAGUUCCCGUGGCAGCCAGGAGGUCAGAAAUCAAUCCGGGUCGGUCGGCCGGAGAGGGGCGCGGAUCCAGCAAGCUGCCCUCAGCAGCCUGGCUCGGUUAUUUAUAACUGUGGGUCGCCUUACCUCCUG